This 245-nucleotide ribosomal RNA is filed under the name uncultured bacterium. RNAcentral's name for it is "partial 16S ribosomal RNA". It matches the Rfam family "Bacterial small subunit ribosomal RNA", at positions 524 to 768 of the family's 1533-position model. The record is from RNAcentral.
UACGGAGGGGGCUAGCGUUGUUCGGAAUUACUGGGCGUAAAGCGCACGUAGGCGGCGAUCUAAGUCAGGGGUGAAAGCCCGGGGCUCAACCCCGGAAUUGCCCUUGAGACUGGAUUGCUAGAAUCUUGGAGAGGCGAGUGGAAUUCCGAGUGUAGAGGUGAAAUUCGUAGAUAUUCGGAAGAACACCAGUGGCGAAGGCGGCUCGCUGGACAAGUAUUGACGCUGAGGUGCGAAAGCGUGGGGAG